Molecule: long non-coding RNA, 763 nt
Organism: Brassica oleracea var. oleracea
Lineage: Eukaryota; Viridiplantae; Streptophyta; Magnoliopsida; Brassicales; Brassicaceae
Exons: 2
Source: RefSeq, a predicted model, not a curated record
CUCCAGUUCUCCCUCUAGAUCCAUUCAGUUCUGCUUCUCCCUAAUUAAUAGCAUCCAUUUACAACUAUUAUGGAACAUACAUAUCAAUAUUCAUGGAUUAUCCCUUUCAUUCCAAUUCUUGAAGAAGGUUCUCUCUCUCUCUCUCUCUCUACCUGUUGAAUUUCCAAACCACUACAUGUCUCUCCAUAACUCUCUUUCUCCUACUCGGAAGUCACCUUAAAAUCGAAAGAAUCAGUGGAUGACUAUCAUUUACUGAGAAAAAGGCUACAAAUCACCAUAUACGCUCAUUCAAAGAAGUCCCAACGACGAUCUCUCCUACCGCAAAGCAGAGACACUCACGCUUCUCUUCGUACGACUCUAACCAAAUUUACGGCGUUAUGUCCGGUUGUCCUGUUCUCAUCCAGACUUUCUGCAAGAGAUCCUCGCCGUCGCAGGAUCUCAUCGGAGCUACAACUCUCAUGGUAUUGCCAAAAAGAAGCUUAAAUGAUUUAGGACAUAAUUACAGAGAGGCUGGACUUAAUGUUGGUGUUUGGAGUUCUCAGUGGAUUCAUUUCAUUUUAGCAUCCAUUUAUCUUAUUGACAGUCAUCUCUCUUGGCAUGUAAACAUUUAUUCUUGGGAAAACAUCUCUCUUUUUGAAUGUUUGAUCACUCUUUGGAUGGAUUGUCUUCUGCUACUGUAGCCCGUUGCUUUCUGUUCUUGAUAGGUAAGUUAUGUAUCAUUGGGUUGUUUUACAUCCUUAGAAAUUAAACUAAGAAACCCACA